RNAcentral lists this ribosomal RNA (423 nucleotides) under uncultured bacterium. RNAcentral's name for it is "partial 16S ribosomal RNA". It matches the Rfam family "Bacterial small subunit ribosomal RNA", at positions 359 to 774 of the family's 1533-position model. The record is from RNAcentral.
GAAUUUUGGACAAUGGGCGCAAGCCUGAUCCAGCAACGCCGCGUGCAGGAUGACGGCCUUCCGCUUGUAAACUGCUUUUUUUCGGAACGAAAAGCUUUGGGCUAAUCCCCUCGAGUCAUCACGGUAUCGUAAGAAUGAGCUACGGCCAACUACGUGCCAGCAGCCGAGGUAAUACGGAGGGUGCAAGCGUUAAUCGGAAUUACUGGGCGUAAAGCGUGCGCAGGCGGUUGUGGAAGACAGAGGUGAAAUCCCCGGGCUCAACCUGGGAACUGGCUGUGUGACUGCAAGGCUAGAGUACGGCAGGGGGGGGUAGAAUUCCGCGUGUAGCAGUGAAAUGCGUAGAUAUGCGGAGGAACACCGAUGGCGAAGGCAACCCCCUGGGCCUGUACUGACGCUCAUGCACGAAAGCGUGGGGAGCAAACA